RNAcentral lists this ribosomal RNA (494 nucleotides) under uncultured bacterium. RNAcentral describes it as "partial 16S ribosomal RNA". It matches the Rfam family "Bacterial small subunit ribosomal RNA", at positions 28 to 507 of the family's 1533-position model. The record is from RNAcentral.
GACGAACGCUGGCGGCGUGCUUAACACAUGCAAGUCGAACGGAAAGGCCUGCUUUCCCCUGUGGAUUGCGGGUACUCGAGUGGCGAACGGGUGAGUAACACGUGAGUGAUCUGCCCCCAACUUGGGUAUAAGCCUGGGAAACUGGGUCUAAUUCCCGAUAGGACUGCAGGGUGGUGCCUGUGGUGGAAAACGAUUUUCUAGUGGUUGGGGAUGAGCUCGCGGCCUAUCAGCUUGUUGGUGGGGUAAUGGCCUACCAAGGCGGCGACGGGUAGCCGGCCUGAGAGGGUGGACGGCCACAUUGGGACUGAGAUACGGCCCAGACUCCUACGGGAGGCAGCAGUGGGGAAUAUUGCACAAUGGGCGGAAGCCUGAUGCAGCGACGCCGCGUGGGGGAUGACGGCCUUCGGGUGGUAAACUCCUUUCGACCGAGAGGAAGCCACCUGGUUGGAAGGGUGGUGACGGUAGUGGUAGAAGAAGCACCGGCUAACUACGUG